GUGGGGAAUAUUGGGCAAUGGGGGCAACCCUGACCCAGCGACGCCGCGUGAGGGAAGAAGGCCUUAGGGUCGUAAACCUCUGUUGUGUGGGAAGAAGGAAGUGACGGUACCACACGAGGAAGUCCCGGCUAACUACGUGCCAGCAGCCGCGGUAAUACGUAGGGGACGAGCGUUGUCCGGACUUACUGGGCGUAAAGGGCGCGUAGGCGGUCAUUUAAGUCAGCUGUGAAAUGGUCCGGCUCAACCGGAUCAUGCGGUUGAAAGUGGAUGACUGGAGUGCUGGAGAGGCAAGAGGAAUUCCCAGUGUAGCGGUGAAAUGCGUAGAUAUUGGGAAGAACACCGGUGGCGAAGGCGACUUGCUGGCCAGCAACUGACGCUGAGGCGCGAAAGCCAGGGGAGCAAACGGGAUUAGAAACCCCAGUAGUCC
RNAcentral lists this ribosomal RNA (427 nucleotides) under uncultured bacterium. Its description in RNAcentral is "partial 16S ribosomal RNA". It matches the Rfam family "Bacterial small subunit ribosomal RNA", at positions 354 to 796 of the family's 1533-position model. The record is from RNAcentral.